RNAcentral lists this transfer RNA (72 nucleotides) under Salmo salar (Atlantic salmon). It matches the Rfam family "tRNA". Rfam says of the family: Transfer RNA (tRNA) molecules are approximately 80 nucleotides in length. Lineage: Eukaryota; Metazoa; Chordata; Actinopteri; Salmoniformes; Salmonidae. The record is from Rfam by way of RNAcentral.
UCCCGUGUGGCUCAGUUGGUAGAGCAUGGCGUUUGCAAUGCCAGGGUUGUGGGUUCAAUUCCCACGAGGGAC